AUCUCAUACCUGGUGAACGGAGUGACGAACCAGUACUCGACCAGGGAGAUGCUCAAUGAGGUGAAAAGCUUUUUCGGCUCCCUGACUGAGGAAACAGGCUCAGAGAUGAGAUGCAUCCAACAGGCCUAUGAAACCAUUGAGGACAACAUCCGCUGGACUGACUCUAACCUUCCUCUGCUGCAGAACUGGCUCAACAAACACAUGGGCAGAGUGGUCCAUGAAGAUCUGUAGUGAUAUGGAAAACAGAGAAGGUGAAGGAUAAACCCGUCGCUUCUUGAGUCAUGUAUUGUGUGCUCAUGAGAGACUGAAACAACAAAUAUGAUGACAAUUAUUUUGAUAUCUUUUAAAUCAAGGCACCUUGUUUAAUAACUGACCUGACUUCAGAUUUGAUUCCAAAAUAAAUUUUUUUCCAUUUGUAAAAUGUCAUCUUACCACCAUUAUAAACUGUGAACUACAGGCUGAAACUGGUGCAGCGCCUCCAUAUUAUGAGAGUUAUAGUGGAGUAUGAGGCACUGUUAUUA
This is a long non-coding RNA of Sphaeramia orbicularis (orbiculate cardinalfish), 521 nucleotides long. RefSeq lists it as uncharacterized. The record is from RefSeq and is a predicted model, not a curated record. NCBI's taxonomy places the organism in Eukaryota, Metazoa, Chordata, Actinopteri, Kurtiformes, Apogonidae. The transcript is spliced from 2 exons.